RNAcentral lists this ribosomal RNA (833 nucleotides) under uncultured Paracoccidioides. RNAcentral describes it as "eukaryotic LSU rRNA". The stretch from base 329 to 482 matches the Rfam family "5.8S ribosomal RNA". Lineage: Eukaryota; Fungi; Ascomycota; Eurotiomycetes; Onygenales. The record is from RNAcentral.
UUAGUGAGGCCUUCGGACUGGCUCAGGGAGGUUGGCAACGACCGCCCAGAGCCGGAAAGUUGGUCAAACUUGGUCAUUUAGAGGAAGUAAAAGUCGUAACAAGGUUUCCGUAGGUGAACCUGCGGAAGGAUCAUUACCGUGCCGUGGCAGCCGGCCCUCAAAAAGCCUGGCUGCUCACCUGGCCACCCGUGUUUACUUUACCUGUUGCUUCGGCGGGCCUGCGGGCUUGCUUGCUGCCGGGGGACCCUGGUUCCCGGGCUCGUGCCCGCCGAAGACCUUCUAAACCCUAGUUAAAGAUUGGCGUCUGAGUGAUUAAGAAAUCAGUUAAAACUUUCAACAACGGAUCUCUUGGUUCCCACAUCGAUGAAGAACGCAGCGAAAUGCGAUAAGUAAUGUGAAUUGCAGAAUUCCGUGAAUCAUCGAAUCUUUGAACGCACAUUGCGCCCGCUGGUAUUCCGGCGGGCAUGCCUGUCUGAGCGUCAGUAUAAUCUCAAGCAACUGCUUGGUGUUGGAAGAUGAGCUGCCCAGCAGUUCCCUUCUUAAACUGAUUGGCAAGUCAACGUAGCAACAAGCGUAGUAGAAAUACCAUUGCUGAGUUGCGACUGUGAAGCUUCGCCAGAAUCAAACUUUCCAAGGUUUGACCUCAGAUCAGGUAAGGAUACCCCCUGAACUUAAGCAUAUCAAUAAGGGGAGGAAAAGAAACCAACAGGGAUUGCCCUAGUAACGGCGAGUGAAGCGGCAACAACUCAAAUUUGAAAGCUUGCUCUUUUAGAGUACGCAUUGUAAUUUGUAGAGGCAUAUUCGGGAAGCGGUUUAGUCUAUGUUCUUUGGGA